RNAcentral lists this ribosomal RNA (479 nucleotides) under uncultured bacterium. Its description in RNAcentral is "bacterial SSU rRNA". It matches the Rfam family "Bacterial small subunit ribosomal RNA", at positions 791 to 1268 of the family's 1533-position model. The record is from RNAcentral.
UAGUCCACGCAGUAAACGAUGAAUGUUAGUCGUCGGGGGGCUCGUCCUUUCGGUGAUGCAGCUAACGCAUUAAGCAUUCCACCUGGGGAGUACGAUCGCAAGACUGAAACUCAAAGGAAUUGACGGGGGCCCGCACAAGCGGUGGAGCAUGUGGUUUAAUUCGAAGCAACACGAAGAACCUUACCAAAUCUUGACAUCCCAAUGACCGGUUUUAAUCGAACCUUUUCUUCGGAACAUUGGUGACAGGUGGUGCAUGGUUGUCGUCAGCUCGUGUCGUGAGAUGUUGGGUUAAGUCCCGCAACGAGCGCAACCCUUAUUUUUAGUAGCCAGCACGUAAUGGUGGGGACUCUAGAGAGACUGCCGGGGACAACUCGGAGGAAGGUGGGGAUGACGUCAAAUCAUCAUGCCCCUUAUGAUUUGGGGCUACACACGUGCUACAAUGGUAGUUACAAAGGGGAAGCGAAGCCGUGAGGUGGAGC